This 30-nucleotide non-coding RNA is filed under the name Mus musculus (house mouse). Lineage: Eukaryota; Metazoa; Chordata; Mammalia; Rodentia; Muridae. The record is from RNAcentral.
UAAAAUUCCUGGUGUUUGACAAUGCACACC